CUGGAAGGCCUUCACCAGAUGCCGGCACCUUGAUCUUUGAUUUCUCAUCCUCCAGAACUGGUUCUUGACAUGGUGACAGGACAGGACAGAUCAAGACAGAGGCUCUCCAAGGCAGUGAAAAGACCCUUCCUAUCUCCUCUGGCUUAACCUGGGUUUAUGCUCCUUUCCUGGCCCUGUUGGUAUAAUCGGCAACAUCUGUGUUGUUAGAGGGUGGAGAGCGCAUGGAUCAUCUUAGCUCAAAGGUAGGUUCUAACAGCAUAGAAGAUGGAGUAGAGAAAAAUAAAUAGUGUUUUUUUUUCUCUCUGCUACUUACUAGAGCCAUGCUAUCUAAUAUGGCAGACACUAACCACAUGUGACUUUUGAGCACUUGAAUGUGGUUAGUUCAAAUUAAGACGGACUGUAAAACAUACACCCCCUGCCCCCAGACAUCAUAUUUCAUUAAGGCAACAUAAAAAUGCCAAUUAUCUCAUUUAUAACUUUUA
RNAcentral lists this long non-coding RNA (482 nucleotides) under Homo sapiens (human). RNAcentral's name for it is "HSALNT0166193". Lineage: Eukaryota; Metazoa; Chordata; Mammalia; Primates; Hominidae. The record is from RNAcentral.